This 465-nucleotide ribosomal RNA is filed under the name uncultured bacterium. RNAcentral describes it as "partial 16S ribosomal RNA". It matches the Rfam family "Bacterial small subunit ribosomal RNA", at positions 338 to 795 of the family's 1533-position model. The record is from RNAcentral.
CCUACGGGAGGCAGCAGUAGGGAAUUUUCCACAAUGGGCGAAAGCCUGAUGGAGCAACGCCGCGUGGGUGAAGAAGGUCUUCGGAUCGUAAAACCCUGUUGUUAGAGAAGCAAGUGCGUGAGAGUAACUGUUCACGUUUCGACGGUAUCUAACCAGAAAGCGACGGCUAACUACGUGCCAGCAGCCGCGGUAAUUCGUAGGUGGCAAGCGUUAUCCGGAUUUAUUGGGCGUAAAGGGAACGCAGGCGGGCUUUUAAGUCUGAUGUGAAAGCCUUCGGGUUAACCGGAGUAGUGCAUUGGAAACUGGGAGACUGGAGUGCAGAAGAGGAGAGUGGAACUCCAUGUGUAGCGGUGAAAUGCGUAGAUAUAUGGAAGAACACCAGUGGCGAAAGCGGCUCUCUGGGCUGUAACUGACGCUGAGGUUCGAAAGCGUGGGUAGCAAACAGGAUUAGAUACCCUAGUAGUC